CAGAAUUAAAAGAUUUCAGGAUUUCUUAAAUACAAUUGCUUGCUAAAGAAGGUAUGUCCAAUUCAUUUUAAUCACGUCAGCUCUUUGAAUAAGAUGAAAAAGUACAGUCCCCAUUUAGGCAGGAAAGGUUAAUUGGGACUCACAAAUUACACCCUAAACCAUUUUGAUUAAAUAAAAUACAUGCUUCAUGCACAUGUGGUUCUGCCUCUUUAUCUCUUUUUGUGUCUGUUGUUAACUUCUUUAAUCAAUGUUCUGGCCAACACUAAAUCCACAAGUGGAAUCAGCUCAUAUUCAUGUACAUCACUUCCUUUAAUGUAAACUUUUGUAGUUCUAUGCAUCUGAAUCAAUCACAAACCAUAAUCUAAUUUGGAUUGCUGGGGCCUAAAAUCGUCUCCAUAUAUCGAUCCCUGUCGCUCAAAAACUUCGUUGAGUUGUAAUCUUCUGCAGCAUAUAGUUCUUCUGAGUACGUCCUAUGAAGUUUCGAUUUCUGCCUCUCUUUCAAAAUUCUCAAACUCUCUUCUUCACCUCUUAGUAUCUGUACGACCUGUAUUGGUUCAAGAAAAAUAUAUUAGUAAGAUCCUCAACAAUGCAUCAAUUUUGCUUCUAUGAUUCUUUUUUCGUGUUAGUAAGGUGUUUACUGGCGUCAACUCACUAACUGUAUGCUUGGAAACAUGGUAGCUCACCUUGAAAAGAGUAUUGGGCGUGAGGGGUGUGGGAAAAAUCCUUCACUUUGGAUAGAUAAGACUCUUGAGAGGAGUUUAUAAAGAGGAGACAAUCCUCACCUUACAAGCCAAGCCGGUUUUAUAAGGUGAGGAUUGCCUCCUCUUUAUAAACUCUUCUCAAGAGUCUUAUCUAUCCGAUGUGGGACUUGGAUUUUUCCCAAUAGAUGUAGCUUUUGUCAUCAUGGAAAAAUGAUUUCCAAGAGACACUAAGUUUUUCUUUCCAGCAAAAUUAUUAGAAUUUAAUUUUGUCAAACUUUUUUUGCUUGCAAACCUCAAUUCGAUUAGAACUGACGUAAAACUAGCCUUUGCAUUCAGAGCCGGCCCAACACUUAUUGAGGCUUAAAGCGAACUCAAAAGAGCGGUCGUGACAAAAAAUAGAG
This 1102-nucleotide long non-coding RNA is filed under the name Medicago truncatula (barrel medic). RNAcentral's name for it is "long non-coding RNA (MTRU_LNC008092)". The record is from RNAcentral. Lineage: Eukaryota; Viridiplantae; Streptophyta; Magnoliopsida; Fabales; Fabaceae.